AUCGAUACUCCACGUUAAAUUUCACUUCAGUUCAAAACUUAUAUACCGCCAUCUCAAGAAUUAAUUCAUAAAUAUUUUCCUAAUAAAUAAUAAAAAGUUAGGUCAAGGUAUAAUCCAUAUUCAAGAAUGAGAUGAAUUACAUUAAAUAUUAAUUAAAGACUAUAAGUAAAUUAUUCAUACAAAUAAGAAUUUAAAAGAAAUAUAAAAAUAAUAAUUUAAUAUGAAAAAGAUUAUAAAUGUGUACACAUCGCCC
RNAcentral lists this ribosomal RNA (253 nucleotides) under Draconarius tortus. RNAcentral's name for it is "partial 12S ribosomal RNA". The record is from RNAcentral. Lineage: Eukaryota; Metazoa; Arthropoda; Arachnida; Araneae; Agelenidae.